ACAACCUUGAAAUGCGUCGGUCGAUUGAGUAAUUAAAAAUUCAGAAUCUGCGGAGCCAGGGAAUCCGGUAUGAAAGCCGGGGCAGCCGCUGCUGCUGUAAUCGGGACGAAACCGCGAUAUGCCAUUGCCGACAGUCGCCGCCUUAGGUUAGCGACACGGGUGAGAAGGCGCGGGGUAAACAGCAAAACAAGUUUGCAUGCUUUUUACAAAUUCGCGUAAGCUGUUUAUGCAAAGUGGGACAGACGCUUUGCAGUAGGAUGAACGGGAGCCAGAAGACCUACCGGGGAUUCGGAGUUAGC
Molecule: non-coding RNA, 299 nt
Filed under: Synergistes jonesii
Lineage: Bacteria; Thermotogati; Synergistota; Synergistia; Synergistales; Synergistaceae
Source: RNAcentral